RNAcentral lists this long non-coding RNA (339 nucleotides) under Ricinus communis (castor bean). RNAcentral describes it as "long non-coding RNA (RCOM_LNC003766)". The record is from RNAcentral. Lineage: Eukaryota; Viridiplantae; Streptophyta; Magnoliopsida; Malpighiales; Euphorbiaceae.
UUAAAGCUUCUCUCCAGCCUUAACAUAAGCAUGCGCGGGUGCAAGAUUUGCAUCGUCGGAAGGAUCAAAACUACGUGCAUAGGACGCCCGAGCACUGCAGCUCGUCUCUAGCCUCAACACAAGCACGAGCCCAUGCAAGAAUGUAUCAUCGACCGGAUCCAAACUCCUCGCAACAGGGAGUGCGCAUAAGCUUCCGCGACACGAGCUCAGGCAAUACAAUUGAAUGACAUGCCCUCGCAGUGCAACAUCUGCCUAAUAACACGCCCAAGCUCGGAGAUCAUCUCCAGCCUUAACAUAAGAGCAUACGUCCGUGCAAGAACUGCAUCGUCGGCAAGAUAC